GACGUCACUGGUCAUAUGUUGUGCUUCAACAGACUCACUUCUUCAAAUACCACUGUGCUGUCAAAACCACUAUCCCAGAGUACAGAAUUAUAAAGCUUGUCAAAGACUUUCUUAUCAACAUGAAAACAAUUCAUGGCGACUCAUGUUUCGUAGAA
Xenia sp. Carnegie-2017 is the source of this 155-nucleotide long non-coding RNA. RefSeq lists it as uncharacterized. The transcript is spliced from 2 exons. Lineage: Eukaryota; Metazoa; Cnidaria; Anthozoa; Malacalcyonacea; Xeniidae. The record is from RefSeq and is a predicted model, not a curated record.